UUUUCUUUUACACACUUUCUUCCGUUUGAACAAAAACGCCUCCAAGAUGCACUUCAACGUGGCAGAAAGAGUCAGAGUGUAUAAAAAGGUUUCGAUACAUUUGAUACCCUAUAUGAGCUUCUUUGUACUGCGCAUGCGCGACGUAAAACUAUCUCGUGCCUCAUAUAGCUCCCAGCUGAUCGCUCCUAAGCUCGUGCGGAGUGUGUGAGGAUGAAAUUGAGACAGGGCCAGAGCGGGGCGCGUGACACCGCGCAUGCGCGAUACAAAAAUAGCACGUAGAGUAACAGCUGAUGUGUGUUUUAUUUCCGUUGUUGGGCUUCAGAUGAGAUGCCUGAACUCCUGAAAUCCUCCUGUACCAGAUGCACACUUUAAUAGAUAGGGUGGAGCUUCAGCGGUUCACAACAUAGUGUGUGGAGGGUUAAAAGACUGAACCAUGAAGUUGAUAGUGGAUGUAGUGUGGAUGAUAUGGGGCAUCGGUGCAUCUGUGUACGAUUACUUCCACACCAGCGCCAUGGAGGAGAGGAUCCACACUCUGGAGAACGUCCUCACCAUCCACCAGUUUCUCAUCGUGUUCCUCUCAGCAAGCCUCGUCCUGCUUAUCUCCUACAUCGUCUUUAAGAAGAAAUGACAUGCCGGAAACCUCGAAAACCUGGGAGCCUCGAGGAACCAUGAGACAACCACUCUGCUCCUCAGUGAAUGAGGAUGAUUGUAUAGAUAGAUGAACGGUUGUGUCAGAUUGUCUGACCAUAUCAAAUGUAGCUAUGAAACAUUGACAAGGUUUACAAUAUUUUGUAUUUAAAGAAAUACACCAUUUCUAACAUGUUGUUCUACAGAGACAGUUUUGUCUACCAUGUUUCUCUUGUCAUGACCUGUGGAAUUAUGGGAUUACAACAUAACUGUGCACUCAAUAUCACACCAUACAACAGAUUACCAGAACUCUCAAAAACUAUUUUUUCUUCCUCAAACCAAGUUCAAGUACGUUUUUUUUAGUACUCAUCAAUACAGAUACAGUAAUGAUUAACCUACUUAGAAUAUUAAUCAUGCUAAGUAGAUUAGCAUGCCACAAAUAACAUGUUAUGGCGCUUAAAUGGUCUCAUUAAUAGAUGGUGUGAAGGUGGCCAUCUUGAGGAAGCUGACGUUGCUCAAUGCUUGUCAUGUGCAACAGUUUCUCUUUACAGCUCCACUGUUAUUUUUAAUGACCACACUGGCUGAAACUGCUCUGUACGCUCAGCUCAACACUCUAUAUUAAUAAAGAUACUGUUUAAAUGCCGUGAGAUGACUGAUCAGGUGCUUGUAUUGUAAGAAGUUGCUGUAGUAGCAUGUUUGCCUUGCACUCCAGGGUUGGGGGUUUAAAUCCUGUCUCCACCCUGUGUGCACAGAGCUUGUAUGUUCUCCCAGUACUUUGGGAGUUUCUUCUGAGUACUCAGACCAAAGACUGAUUGGCAUUUCCAAAUUGCCUGUAAUGUGUGUGAGAUUUUGCCCUGCGAUGGCUUGGCACUCUGUACAGGGUGUCCCCCAACUUGUGCCCCGAGCUCCCUGAGAUAGGCUCCAGGCCCCCCUGUGUAGGAUAGGCAGUACAGAAAAUGAUGGAUGGAAAUACCUCCAGAUUGCUGGCAUUUUGUGUUCCCGAGCGCAGCAACAUGCACUAGGUUUAUGUCACACAUAGUAUCAGAUGUUUGAUAUCGGAGAUUUUUUUUUUUACAAGUAAAUCAGCAUGGUACCGGUAUUGGUAUUUAUGCAUCACUAAUUAUAUGUGAUUUGUCCAUUAAAUAUUAUUAUGCAACUCAUAUAUUAAUUCAUUCGAGUAGAUAGAUGAAUUCAAACUUGAUCAACUGCAUUACACAAGUAUUAAUCACAUCCUAACACAGCUAAACAAAUCAGAGAGCUUUUACUCAGUCUUUUUUUCCUUUUAUUUAGAAUAACCCACUCUAUGAUGUGUGUAUUUAAUGCCUACGAUUAGAAUAUUUUCCAAGUGUUCCCUACAUUUGCGUAAUGGUAAUGAAAACCAUUCUCAGACCUUCUGCUCACCUGAAAAGAGAAACACAAGAUAAAUACGAACACAAAGUUAGAAUAUUUACGCUUCAAUACAGCAGAACAAUAGCGAUACAUCAGUGAUUAUUUGAGAAGUCAGAGUUUGGCAUUCGAAUGUCUGUCAUAUAAACAGGAAGUGUGUUUGCAUGUGAGCUGUGAAACAGGAACACACGG
Molecule: long non-coding RNA, 2205 nt
Organism: Ictalurus punctatus (channel catfish)
Lineage: Eukaryota; Metazoa; Chordata; Actinopteri; Siluriformes; Ictaluridae
Source: Ensembl